Molecule: ribosomal RNA, 405 nt
Filed under: bacterium enrichment culture clone ALO1_GLFRUDD03G6SH0
Lineage: Bacteria
Description: bacterial SSU rRNA
Rfam family: Bacterial small subunit ribosomal RNA
Source: RNAcentral
GAGUUUGAUCUUGGCUCAGAUUGAACGCUGGCGGCAUGCCUUACACAUGCAAGUCGAACGGCAGCACGGGAGCUUGCUCCUGGCGGCGAGUGGCGAACGGGUGAGUAAUGCAUCGGAACGUAUCCUGGAGUGGGGGAUAACGUAGCGAAAGUUACGCUAAUACCGCAUAUUCUGUGAGCAGGAAAGCGGGGGACCUUCGGGCCUCGCGCUCUUGGAGCGGCCGAUGUCGGAUUAGCUAGUUGGUGAGGUAAAGGCUCACCAAGGCGACGAUCCGUAGCAGGUCUGAGAGGAUGAUCUGCCACACUGGAACUGAGACACGGUCCAGACUCCUACGGGAGGCAGCAGUGGGGAAUUUUGGACAAUGGGGGCAACCCUGAUCCAGCCAUGCCGCGUGAGUGAAGAAGG